Molecule: ribosomal RNA, 447 nt
Filed under: uncultured bacterium
Lineage: Bacteria
Description: partial 16S ribosomal RNA
Rfam family: Bacterial small subunit ribosomal RNA
Source: RNAcentral
UGGGGGAUAUUGCACAAUGGAGGAAACUCUGAUGCAGCAACGCCGCGUGAAGGAUGAAGGUCUUCGGAUUGUAAACUUUUGUACUUGGGGACGAUAAUGACGGUACCCAAGCAGCAAGCUCCGGCUAACUACGUGCCAGCAGCCGCGGUAAUACGUAGGGAGCAAGCGUUGUCCGGAUUUACUGGGUGUAAAGGGUGCGUAGGCGGCUAUGCAAGUCAGUUGUGAAAACUAUGGGCUCAACCCAUAGCCUGCAAUUGAAACUGCGUGGCUUGAGUGAAGUAGAGGUAGGUGGAAUUCCCGGUGUAGCGGUGAAAUGCGUAGAGAUCGGGAGGAACACCAGUGGCGAAGGCGACCUACUGGGCUUUAACUGACGCUGAGGCACGAAAGCAUGGGUAGCAAACAGGAUUAGAUACCCUGGUAGUCCAUGCCGUAAACCGAUGAUUACUA